RNAcentral lists this transfer RNA (78 nucleotides) under Albidovulum sp. Its description in RNAcentral is "tRNA-Leu". It matches the Rfam family "tRNA". From Rfam's summary of the family: Transfer RNA (tRNA) molecules are approximately 80 nucleotides in length. Their secondary structure includes four short double-helical elements and three loops (D, anti-codon, and T loops). Further hydrogen bonds mediate the characteristic L-shaped molecular structure. tRNAs have two regions of fundamental functional importance: the anti-codon, which is responsible for specific mRNA codon recognition, and the 3' end, to which the tRNAs corresponding amino acid is attached (by aminoacyl-tRNA synthetases). tRNAs cope with the degeneracy of the genetic code in two manners: having more than one tRNA (with a specific anti-codon) for a particular amino acid; and 'wobble' base-pairing, i.e. permitting non-standard base-pairing at the 3rd anti-codon position. Lineage: Bacteria; Pseudomonadati; Pseudomonadota; Alphaproteobacteria; Rhodobacterales; Paracoccaceae. The record is from RNAcentral.
AGCCCUGUAGCUCAACUGGAGUAGAGCAAUUAUGUAGCUAGUAAUAGGUUCUGGGUUCGAGUCCCGGCAGGGCUACCA